This 95-nucleotide microRNA precursor is filed under the name Canis lupus familiaris (dog). RNAcentral's name for it is "mir-8799 microRNA precursor family". It matches the Rfam family "mir-8799 microRNA precursor family". RNAcentral also lists the same sequence under 1 other name. The record is from Rfam by way of RNAcentral. Lineage: Eukaryota; Metazoa; Chordata; Mammalia; Carnivora; Canidae.
AGGGGGAGCACAGGAUCCUGGACUGUGUACCCCAGCGCCCCGUGAUCCAGGGCCUGCACUGCUGGAAUCAGGCUCCCGGGGCCACGCAGCCCCCU